AUUGUGUUCACUGUGGCUCAAUUCCUUACAAAUCAUAAUCCUUGAUAAACACAGUUAAGCACUUUUAAUGUUUAUUCCUUACUUAUAGUGGAUACACAGCAGUUUAUACACAAGGCAAAGCCAGCCUGGUUUACUGGGAGUGGAAGUGUGGUGAGGGGAUCCUGCCAUAGCCAGCUAGCAAGGGGUAAAUCCACCUACACCCUCUAGGACCUCCUUCCUGCUGAGCCAUCACUUGAUGGUAAGGGGAGAAUUUAUAAACAUGAAGUUUAACAUGGCAGAUGAUGGAAAAGGACUCUUGAGAAAAAUAGCAAAUGAGCUACCAGAAAACCCUAAGGAAUGUCCUGUUCUCAGCUUUCCCUGGGUCAAGUCUGAGUUUGAAGCUGGAGCUUUAAGAAUUAACGUAGGGGGUAAGGGGCAGGGGACUCUCCUGAUCUCCCAGAGCCUGUGCGAGACCAAGGAAGCCACCCAUUUAGGGUCAUUGGACAUUGGAUUAAGCCAGACCAUUGAAGAGCUGCCUUUGUGCACUACAUAUUAUCCUGGCCUCUCUUAAAACCUAUUUCAUAUACUGCCACUUUUGUAUCAAGGGAUGUUAUAUCAGUCACACGACAAUUUCUGUGAUAACCACUGUACAGAUGCUUUUGAGGAUGUGGCCAAAUGCACCUGACAGCACUGAUCCUCCUUCUCAACCUCAUAGGAGAAAUGUUUCUCAGUUUAAAGAACCAGAAAAAUGUAUAUUUCUCCUAAGUGUUAACAUGUGAUUCUCCUCAGCAUUGUGAAUCUUGUAGCUCGUAGAAUUCCCCUCUUUGCUUUGGAUGCUGGGAAACUCAAAGACAUAUUUUGCCUAUUCCCAACAACUUGUACAGCACCUUGUAGCAUACAUUUUCUGUACAUGCUUUGCACUUGUGUUCAUCUUAUUUCCUACCCUUGUUUUCCUUUUGCCCUAACUGCUUCAUCUCUAAGUUGUUGCUUAUCACAUGAGAUGUAUUCUAAAGGUUUCCUAUAUUAGAGCAGAUAACUGCAGUAAAAAAAAAAAAAAAAAAAAAAAAAAAGACUCUAAAUGACUGCAGUGACUGCAGUGAAAAAGGUUGACUUCCGCUUACCUGAAGUCUAAUGUGGAUGUUACUUGGUGAUUCCCUGCCAAGUGGGGGACACAGGAACAUACGUUCUUUAGCUUUGCCAUCUUUAGCAUGUAGCCCUACAGUGACUGCCAGAGGUAGAAAGAUGGGAAGCACAUCAGGCCCUUCACUCCUUCAGCCUGGAAAUGACACACACCAUUACCUCUAACAUUCCUUUGGCCAGAAUUAGUCACUCAGACAUAAAGCACUGGGAAAUAUUGUUCCCAAUUGGGCAGCCACUUCCCCAAAACAACAGUAGAUGGGAGGGAACACAAAUCCUUGGUGGUCAGCUACUGUUUCUGCCACACUCUCUAAAUUCCCUCUGAAAACAAGAAAAGUAAACAAACUCAGUAGACUUUAGAGAAAAAGGAAAUCUCUCUUCUUGCCAAAGAACAGGAUUAUCAAUUAAGAAAUAACCAAAACUGGGAAGAUCUAUGGUGGGACUGACUCUGUGCUGGGUAUUAGAGGUGGCACAAAGCAUGAGUUAUAGUUCUUGCCUUCGAGUUGAUUAUAGGGUUUCACACACACCUUCCACACUUCUGCUUCCAUGGUUGGAGAUGUGGCAGUUCUCAAAACCAGUCUGUAGUGGAGGUCUAUAAGGUCUCUCCCCUGCCCUCACUGAACUCUGUAAAGAAAAGGGUCAGAUGCAGCAAGGAGCUGGCUCUGCCUGUGGAAUAAAAGCAAGCCCUUCGGUAGCCA
This 1814-nucleotide long non-coding RNA is filed under the name Felis catus (domestic cat). Its description in RNAcentral is "lncRNA (ENSFCAG00000050055.1)". The record is from RNAcentral. Lineage: Eukaryota; Metazoa; Chordata; Mammalia; Carnivora; Felidae.